Molecule: ribosomal RNA, 278 nt
Filed under: uncultured prokaryote
Description: partial 16S ribosomal RNA
Rfam family: Bacterial small subunit ribosomal RNA
Source: RNAcentral
UACGGAGGGGGCUAGCGUUGUUCGGAAUUACUGGGGCGUAAAGCGCACGUAGGCGGAUCAGCCAGUCAGGGGUGAAAUCCCGGGGCUCAACCCCGGAACUGCCCUUGAUACUGCUGGUCUGGAGUUCGAGAGAGGCGAGUGGAAUUCCGAGUGUAGAGGUGAAAUUCGUAGAUAUUCGGAGGAACACCAGUGGCGAAGGCGACUUUCUGGCAAAACUAGACGCUGAGAUGCGAAAGACGUGGGGAGCAAACAGGAUUAGAUACCCUGGUAGUCCCUGA